This is a long non-coding RNA of Bufo bufo (common toad), 291 nucleotides long. RefSeq lists it as uncharacterized. Lineage: Eukaryota; Metazoa; Chordata; Amphibia; Anura; Bufonidae. The transcript is spliced from 3 exons. The record is from RefSeq and is a predicted model, not a curated record.
UCUUGCCCUGCAGCAGAUACCGGGCAGUUCCUGGUUGGUAGUCAGGGCUCUUGUUCUCUCUGGUAUCAGCCAUUCCUCCAGCCUGCAGGAGUCAUGAAGAAAACCAGCAAUACGAGCCUUCUCCUGAAUGAGCCACCAAGGAUGGACAGGAAGGAGAUCAGCAGAAGAAUAUUAGACCUCACCUUGGAGAUCAUCUCCCUGCUGAGCGGAGAGGAGUACACAAUAGUGAAGAAGACAUCGGGGGACUGUGUGACUCCCAUCAUCCAUCUCCAGGAGUCAGGAGGGCGGAGC